AACGAACGCUGGCGGCAUGCCUAACACAUGCAAGUCGAACGAGACCUUCGGGUCUAGUGGCGCACGGGUGCGUAACGCGUGGGAACCUGCCCUUAGGUUCGGAAUAACUCCCCGAAAGGGGUGCUAAUACCGGAUAAUGUCUUCGGACCAAAGAUUUAUCGCCUUUGGAUGGGCCCGCGUUGGAUUAGCUAGUUGGUAGGGUAAAAGCCUAACAAGGCGACGAUCCAUAGCUGGUCUGAGAGGAUGAUCAGCCACACUGGGACUGAGACACGGCCCAGACUCCUACGGGAGGCAGCAGUGGGGAAUAUUGGACAAUGGGCGAAAGCCUGAUCCAGCAAUGCCGCGUGAGUGAUGAAGGCCUUAGGGUUGUAAAGCUCUUUUACCCGGGAUGAUAAUGACGGUACCGGGAGAAUAAGCUCCGGCUAACUACGUG
RNAcentral lists this ribosomal RNA (433 nucleotides) under uncultured bacterium. RNAcentral describes it as "partial 16S ribosomal RNA". It matches the Rfam family "Bacterial small subunit ribosomal RNA", at positions 29 to 507 of the family's 1533-position model. The record is from RNAcentral.